This 492-nucleotide ribosomal RNA is filed under the name uncultured bacterium. Its description in RNAcentral is "partial 16S ribosomal RNA". It matches the Rfam family "Bacterial small subunit ribosomal RNA", at positions 29 to 507 of the family's 1533-position model. The record is from RNAcentral.
AGUGAACGCUGGCGGUAGGCCUAACACAUGCAAGUCGAACGGCAGCACAGUAAGAGCUUGCUCUUACGGGUGGCGAGUGGCGGACGGGUGAGGAAUACAUCGGAAUCUACUUUUUCGUGGGGGAUAACGUAGGGAAACUUACGCUAAUACCGCAUACGACCUACGGGUGAAAGCAGGGGAUCUUCGGACCUUGCGCGACUGAAUGAGCCGAUGUCGGAUUAGCUAGUUGGCGGGGUAAAGGCCCACCAAGGCGACGAUCCGUAGCUGGUCUGAGAGGAUGAUCAGCCACACUGGAACUGAGACACGGUCCAGACUCCUACGGGAGGCAGCAGUGGGGAAUAUUGGACAAUGGGCGCAAGCCUGACCCAGCCAUACCGCGUGAGUGAAGAAGGCCUUCGGGUUGUAAAGCCCUGUUGUUGGGAAAGAAAAGCAGCAGGUGAAUACCCCGCUGUUCUGACGGUACCCAAAGAAUAAGCACCGGCUAACUUCGUG